UCUGACUCCUGCUUGCCUCUGGCCACCUGCAGGCCGAGGGGCCUCGCACCGCGGGGCGUAUAGAAGGUGGGAAGGUUGCAGAAUUAUCAGGGCGGAAGCUUGCAAGGAAGGAGUCGUGAUUGUCUCUUAGAAGGGCUGAUUCGCAGUCUGUAUUAUCUUCAUGCUUCUAGCAAGUUUACUAGCAAGUGUGUAUUAAAGGUUAAAGAAAGUAGCUUUCCAGCUAUUAGAGCUUGAGAUACAACGUGGAAAGGAGUCUAGAACCCCAGGGAGAUAAACUAGGCUCGACCUACUUUUCUCUAAACACAAACACAGUCCUUGCUGUUUGCUAAACUGAGCAAAUUUCAUCGACAGCUGUCUUCUAGGUCCGUAAAAUAUUUUCUUCUAUAAAGCAUAUUUUUAAUAGAAAACUUGUCCGAAGAUGCUAUUCUGCCUGUGAGAGAUGUCACAUUGCUGAACCGUGAAAUGUCAGACAACCUGAGAACAAAAUUUUAAUAUUUCCUUUUUAAUUACCUGGAUUGUGGUUUGCUAAAAGCUUUUAAAGAGAAGUGAACUUUUUUGGAGAAUAGACGUAAGGACUCUGUAUUUCACAGUUUUCUAUACCAUGAAUAUUAGAAUAACUGACAGAUGUCUUGCCAUUGAUAGUUGUAAAGACUUUUCAUAUGUACAAUGAUCCAUUAUUUCCUGACUACAAAACCCAGGGGUAUAUAGGUCAGAUUAUCUCCAUUAUUCAAAUGAGGAAUUGAAGCUCAGAAAGGUCAAGUGACUAGCGCAAGGUCACACAGCCAGUGAGGGCAAGUGCAAACCCAGCCAGCCUAACUCCUAAUCUUCUCUUUUAAUUCCAUUACAUAAUGACACCUCUCAUUUGCUUCAGAAAUCCCUGUUGUAAAGAUAGAUGCAACUAGCAUGAUCCGUGUUGUUAGGAAAGGCAUGUGAUUAAUUUUAAAUAGAUAUAGUAUUUAACACCACCAGAUGAGUCUCCCUCUGAAAAAGCACACAAAAACAAAACAAAACGCUGACAUAGUUUCCGCAAGUCACGAGGCAAUUAUGCUAAUUAGCAACAAGCCUCCAUCCCUAAGCAGAAUAGUUCUUGUGUGAAACAUAUCAUUUAAUCUUUAUAACCCUGAUGUGACCUAGAUGAUUUGGUCUAAACCCCACAAUCCUAUUGUGUGGCUUAGUUAUAUCUAUAAAUAUAGAACCUGUUUUACUUCAUUUUUGUGUCAGGUGGUUUGAAGGGGGGAAACAUACAAUGCUCUGCUAAGUAAUUAGAGCUACUUACGCAGGCAUUGGGGAAUCUGAAACUUAGCUUCUAAUUGUCUCCACAUAAAAACAGAAGUUAACUUCUAGGGACAUCUUCAGGGACUCCUCAAGGCAAAUAUUCAUGAAAUGGGGCCUAUUGGCUUUUCUUUUCAUCUUGGUUCUGGGCAUGUUGCCAUGUUCCUGAUCUCUGAACUCUGAUGCUGACCUGCUACAGACUCCAGGAGCAAUAUUAAGGAUAAAAUAAUAACUCACAUAACUUUGUGGCUCUUUAUUCUAAAAAAAAAAAAAAAAGUUGGCUCAAUUUUUUUUCCUCCAUAAGAAAAUGCAAAUUGCAACUGUAUUGAGAAACCAUUUUUUCACUUAUCAGAUUGUCAAAGAUUAGAAAGUUUGAUAAUCACAGUGUUGGUAAAAGUGUAGACUAGCAGUCACAAUGAAAAUGUAAAUGUAAAUUAUAAUGACCUCCCUAGGGGGAAGGUCAGGAUACCUAACAAUAUUGCAACUAUACGUAUAAGAGUUUAUCUUGGCCCUGCGUGGUGGCACGGUGACUCAUGCCUGCAAUCCCAGCACUUGGGGAGGCCGAGGCGGGCAGAUCACCUGAGGUCAGGAGUUGGAGACCAGCCUGGCCAACAUGGUGAAACCCUGUCUCAACUAAAAAUACAAAAAUUAGCCAGACAUGAUAGCAGGCGCCUGUAAUCCCAGCUACUUGGGAGGCUGAGGCAGGAGAAUCCCUUGAACCUGGAAAGCGAAGUUUGCAGUGAGCCGAGAUUGUGACACUGCACUCCAGCCUGGGCAACGCACCGCGACUCUGUCUCAAAAAAAAAAAAAGAGUUUAUCUUACAACACACAGGAGAAAUGAGUGAGCACAGACUAUUCCUAAACCACAUUGCAGUAUGCCAACAUUGUAAAUUAAUGCCUGAUUGGUUACCUAGAAGUAAGACAAUCUUACUUUUAGGCAUCUAGAACACUGAGAAAUCCAGGAUGGACACUUAACACUACCAAAGAUUGAUCUAUUUUGGGUAAGUAUACUUCUGAUCUCUUUUUGAGGACUGUAUUAGUCCAUUUUCACACUGCUAUAAAGAACUGCCUGAGGCUGGGUAAAUUAUAAAGGAAAGAGGUUUCAUUGACUCAGAGUUCUGCAUGGCUGGGGAGGCCUCAGGAAACUUAACAGUUAUGGCAGAAGGCAAGGGAGAAGCAGGUACCUUCUUUACAAGGCGGCAGAAGAGACAGAGAGGGCAGGGGAAACUGCCAUUUUUAAGCUAUCAGAUCUUGUCAGAACUCCGUCACUAUCACGAGAAGAGCAUGAGGGAAACUGCCCCCAUGACCCAAUCACCUCCCACCAUCCCCCGCUCAACACGUGGGGAUGACAAUUCAAGAUGGAAUUGUGUGGGGACACAGAGCCAAACCAUAUCAAGUACCUACAAAAUUAUGGUGACUCUUCACUAAUUUGCAAACUGAUUAUCUGCAAAUCUUAAAUAGGGAAUAAAACACAAAAAUAUCAUUAUCCCUCCAGAACUGAGGACGCAAAUUGGAUUUAGAAGACUUAGCUUUGACACCUAGAUAUGUUUUCAUUGAUUUGACCUAACUUGAUCUCAGUUUCUCUUUUAUAGAGUUAGUUCUUUAGAUCAGAGGUCCCCAACCCCAGGACUGCGGACUGCCACUGGUCUUUGGCCUGUCAGGCACCCGGCCACACAGCUGGAGUGUGAAAAAAAAGGAAAAAACUGAAAAUCUCAAGAGGAUUCCAGGAAAUCAAAACAAUGAAUUAUUGAAUCAAGAAUUUGAAAGAGAAAAUAGAUGCAUACUGAAAAAAGAAUUUUGUUUAGUGAGAUAGAUGUAAUAAUGAAGGCAUGUUGAUAACGGGGGAGCUAUGUAUAUAUGAGGGGAGGGAUAUAUUGGAAAUCUCUGUAUCUUCCUCUCAAUCUUGCUGUGAUCCUAAAACUGCUCUAAAAAAUAUUUUGAGAAGGAAUAAUGAUGUGGUAAACAUGUUCUGUUAUUUAAAAAGAGAGACUUUUCAUAGCCGCCUCCCUCCCCCUCUACACACACACAGAGUCCUGUCCGUCUUCAUUCCCUUACUCAAUAAUUUGUACAGACACAGCCACUGGGCUCCAGUAAUCCUAAAGUUUCUAGAAAAUCAAGCACAGAAAAAGGUUAAAACCCUGAGGGAAUAAAAGAAUUCCUUUGCAUCCAUUGCAUUUCUCAGGAAGUGAACUAACAAAUUCACUGCUUUUAAAUGAGGAAAUUUUCUCAGUGAAAUUGAUUCCAAACCUUCGUUAGGUCAACUGUUCCCAGAUUUCUUAGCUGAUGCCUGAUCUGACUAUUCCUUAUCUUUAGUACAGAAACCAAGGUGAAUGACCUUUAAAAAACAUAUUAGACUGUUGACGUGUCUUCUAUGUUGUACUCUAGGUAAAAACGAUAAACCAGGAAAAAGAAAGUAAAAUUCAACCUUAGGCUCAUGGAUCCAGAGUGGAUAAUUAUGAGUCUGUAGUAUCUACAUGCAUGUGAUGAGGUUCAAGGACAAUAACCAUAAAGCAAAGACUUAAAAGGUUUUAUCAUUAGAAUAAUUGUAAUUCACUUGAUCUCUCAAUGUAACAAUACUUCGGUCUACUGUCUCAAGCCAUUAUUAUGUCUUACACUCAGCAUAUUGGUUUGUCUACCAUUAAAUAUUUAUUUUCUACAGUGCUUUCUGGAAGGCAAACAAAGCAGCCACUCUGCUACUUUAUAUUGAUUCCUGAGUUGUCCUUCGGAAACGCUUUCAGGAAGUUUAAUAGGUUUGAAAGAUAUUUAGACCUGUGACUGGCAAAUAUACUUCCUUCUUUUUAUUUCAAUAAGAGAGUACUAGAACUUAGAUCUUUAUUGUUUAAUCUAGUCAGUGCUGUCAUUGUCAAUCAAGUUCUCAAAUGACACUUGUCCUGAGCUGUAACUGAUCUAUUCAGAAGAAUAUGAAAAUAGUAAAGACGGCAACUAUGCAUGUUUUUACCGGACACGAUUUUAAUUGCUUUAAAAUGAAGUUAUGCAACCAAUGAGGAAUGGAGCUUUUGGAGUGGCCUGAAGCUAAAGGUUUCAGGUGUAUUUUUGCUUUCUUUGAAGAAAGAACCAAAUCAUUUUAUUUAAUAAAAAGGCCAUUUAUCAAGAAUUUCUUAAAGCUGUUUUAAACCUGAGUUUGCAAUUUAUAGAAUAUGUUCAAGCAGCCUCAGUGCCCUUUUAAUUGGAUGGUUUUCACAGAUUUAUCCAAUUUGAGAUUUAUCCAGUGAGAAUUCCCUUUGUUCAAGUAUAUAUGUCUUCUCUUCCAUAAAGCAGAUUCAAAUGAAAGAGUGCAAUCUGAUAUAUCAGACAUGUCAGUUAUACAUUUGAUGUGGUAAAUUUAUAAGAGAGGCCAAUUAUUGUUAUGAAAAAAUACAAUGAAAUACAUGAUAGUCAUUUACUGUUUUUAUAACUAAUCUAAAAGUAUUUACUAAAAAGAAACUAUUUCUUUUCAUAUGUACUUUACUUUUUACUUUAACCCUUCAUAUGUCCUUUAAAUAAAGAGAAGAAAAAAAGUCAUUUAUAUUUAUCCACAUAUUUUCUAUUUCAGGUGGUCCUCAUUCAUUCUUGUAGAUCCAAGUUACCAUCUGUUAUUAUUUUCUUUGUCACCUGAAGAAUUUUCAGAACUAUUUCUUCCUAUAUGUAGCAUGUAUAGAUACUCUAAAAAGUCCAUUAUAUGAUGUAUAAAACAAAGCAUACAAUGUAGUCUCUGCCCUAAUUAUUUGUAAUUUAUAUAAAACCUUUUAUUUUUUA
RNAcentral lists this long non-coding RNA (5028 nucleotides) under Homo sapiens (human). Its description in RNAcentral is "HSALNT0345428". The record is from RNAcentral. Lineage: Eukaryota; Metazoa; Chordata; Mammalia; Primates; Hominidae.